RNAcentral lists this ribosomal RNA (805 nucleotides) under Streptomyces sp. Sp080513IM-15. RNAcentral's name for it is "bacterial SSU rRNA". It matches the Rfam family "Bacterial small subunit ribosomal RNA", at positions 54 to 874 of the family's 1533-position model. The record is from RNAcentral. Lineage: Bacteria; Bacillati; Actinomycetota; Actinomycetes; Kitasatosporales; Streptomycetaceae.
CAUGCAAGUCGAACGAUGAAGCCCUUCGGGGUGGAUUAGUGGCGAACGGGUGAGUAACACGUGGGCAAUCUGCCCUGCACUCUGGGACAAGCCCUGGAAACGGGGUCUAAUACCGGAUACGAGCCUCCCGGGCAUCUGGGAGGUUGGAAAGCUCCGGCGGUGCAGGAUGAGCCCGCGGCCUAUCAGCUUGUUGGUGAGGUAACGGCUCACCAAGGCGACGACGGGUAGCCGGCCUGAGAGGGCGACCGGCCACACUGGGACUGAGACACGGCCCAGACUCCUACGGGAGGCAGCAGUGGGGAAUAUUGCACAAUGGGCGAAAGCCUGAUGCAGCGACGCCGCGUGAGGGAUGACGGCCUUCGGGUUGUAAACCUCUUUCAGCAGGGAAGAAGCGAAAGUGACGGUACCUGCAGAAGAAGCGCCGGCUAACUACGUGCCAGCAGCCGCGGUAAUACGUAGGGCGCAAGCGUUGUCCGGAAUUAUUGGGCGUAAAGAGCUCGUAGGCGGCUUGUCGCGUCGAUUGUGAAAGCCCGGGGCUUAACUCCGGGUCUGCAGUCGAUACGGGCAGGCUAGAGUGUGGUAGGGGAGAUCGGAAUUCCUGGUGUAGCGGUGAAAUGCGCAGAUAUCAGGAGGAACACCGGUGGCGAAGGCGGAUCUCUGGGCCAUUACUGACGCUGAGGAGCGAAAGCGUGGGGAGCGAACAGGAUUAGAUACCCUGGUAGUCCACGCCGUAAACGGUGGGCACUAGGUGUUGGCGACAUUCCACGUCGUCGGUGCCGCAGCUAACGCAUUAAGUGCCCCGCCU